ACACGACUACAUUAGAUACCCGUGUAGUCCCAGCCCUAAACGAUGCGCGUUAGGUGUAUCGGUGACCACGAGUCACCGAGGUGCCGAAGGGAAACCGUGAAACGUGCCGCCUGGGAAGUACGGUCGCAAGGCUGAAACUUAAAGGAAUUGGCGGGGGAGCACCACAACGGGUGGAGCUUGCGGUUUAAUUGGAUUCAACGCCGGAAAUCUUACCGGGACCGACAGCAACAUGAAGGCCAGGCUGAAGACUUUGCCGGAUUAGCUG
RNAcentral lists this ribosomal RNA (265 nucleotides) under uncultured archaeon. Its description in RNAcentral is "partial 16S ribosomal RNA". It matches the Rfam family "Archaeal small subunit ribosomal RNA", at positions 719 to 982 of the family's 1478-position model. The record is from RNAcentral.